AUACGUAGGUGGCGAGCGUUAUCCGGAAUUACUGGGUGUAAAGGGCGCGUAGGCGGGCGUGCAAGUUAGAUGUGAAAACCUGGGGCUCAACUCCAGACUGGCAUCUAAAACUGCACAUCUUGAGUGUCAGAGGGGAAAGUGGAAUUCCUGGUGGAGCGGUAAAAUGCGUAGAGAUCAGGAGGAACACCGGUGGCGAAGGCGAAUUUCUGGACGAAGACUGGCGCUGCGGCGCGAUAGCCGGUGGAGAAAACGAGCUUAUAUACCUUGCGUGUCCGCGCUGUGAACGAGGGUUACUAGGUGGAGGAGGUAUCGCCCCCUCCUGUGCCUGACUUAACGUGAUAAGUACCCCGGCUGGGGACUACCGUCGUAAGACGAAAACUCAAAGAAAUUGAGUUGG
Molecule: ribosomal RNA, 397 nt
Filed under: uncultured bacterium
Lineage: Bacteria
Description: partial 16S ribosomal RNA
Rfam family: Bacterial small subunit ribosomal RNA
Source: RNAcentral